RNAcentral lists this ribosomal RNA (384 nucleotides) under uncultured bacterium. RNAcentral's name for it is "bacterial SSU rRNA". It matches the Rfam family "Bacterial small subunit ribosomal RNA", at positions 29 to 416 of the family's 1533-position model. The record is from RNAcentral.
AUUGAACGCUGGCGGAAUGCUUUACACAUGCAAGUCGAGCGGCAGCGCGGGGCAACCUGGCGGCGAGCGGCGAACGGGUGAGUAAUGCAUCGGAACGUACCCAGUCGUGGGGGAUAACUGUCCGAAAGGACAGCUAAUACCGCAUACGUCCUGAGGGAGAAAGCGGGGGAUCGCAAGACCUCGCGCGAUUGGAGCGGCCGAUGCCGGAUUAGCUAGUUGGUAGGGUAAAGGCCUACCAAGGCGACGAUCCGUAGCUGGUCUGAGAGGAUGAUCAGCCACACUGGAACUGAGACACGGUCCAGACUCCUACGGGAGGCAGCAGUGGGGAAUAUUGCGCAAUGGGCGAAAGCCUGACGCAGCCACGCCGCGUGAGCGAUGAAGGCC